RNAcentral lists this ribosomal RNA (301 nucleotides) under uncultured bacterium. RNAcentral describes it as "partial 16S ribosomal RNA". It matches the Rfam family "Bacterial small subunit ribosomal RNA", at positions 509 to 808 of the family's 1533-position model. The record is from RNAcentral.
CAGUCGCCGCGGGAAUACAGAGGAUGCAAGCGUUAUCCGGAAUCAUUGGGCGUAAAGCGAGCGCAGGCGGUUAGAUAAGUCUGAAGUUAAAGGCUGUGGCUUAACCAUAGUACGCUUUGGAAACUGUCUAACUUGAGUGCAAGAGGGGAGAGUGGAAUUCCAUGUGUAGCGGUGAAAUGCGUAGAUAUAUGGAGGAACACCGGUGGCGAAAGCGGCUCUCUGGCUUGUAACUGACGCUGAGGCUCGAAAGCGUGGGGAGCAAACAGGAUUAGAUACCCGCGUAGUCCCUGUCUCUUAUACA